Long non-coding RNA from Octopus sinensis (East Asian common octopus), 176 nucleotides. RefSeq lists it as uncharacterized. The record is from RefSeq and is a predicted model, not a curated record. NCBI's taxonomy places the organism in Eukaryota, Metazoa, Mollusca, Cephalopoda, Octopoda, Octopodidae. The transcript has 3 exons.
UGGAACAAAUAAAGAGUAAGUGGAUUCAGAGUGAUACAGAGUGUGACAAGGCUGGCCCUUUUAAUUACAGGUACUACACAUUUUCACCAGCUGGGUGGACUGCAGGAAUGUGACAUAAAAUGUCUUGCUCAAGGACACAACGCGCCACCAGGAACUGAACUCACAACCUCCCAAUC